Molecule: small nucleolar RNA, 113 nt
Filed under: Vanderwaltozyma polyspora DSM 70294
Lineage: Eukaryota; Fungi; Ascomycota; Saccharomycetes; Saccharomycetales; Saccharomycetaceae
Description: Small nucleolar RNA snR48
Rfam family: Small nucleolar RNA snR48
About the family: snR48 is a member of the C/D class of snoRNA which contain the C (UGAUGA) and D (CUGA) box motifs. Most of the members of the box C/D family function in directing site-specific 2'-O-methylation of substrate RNAs.
Source: Rfam by way of RNAcentral
UUUAAAUGAUGAAUACACAUUAUUACCUUUUUUUUUCUGGCAUCUCUAAUGUUAGGGUGAGGCGUUUCAGUACGAUCCACUCGAUGAAUACAACCAUUGACAAUUUUCUGAAU